UCAUGAUCUGGUUGUAGGAUUUGAGUUAGGUUAUUUGUACCCUUCAUAUCUGUUCCUUGGGUGUCAAAUUGGCACCUCCGACUAGAACCCCCAACACAUACAAAGUACCUUUUAGCUGUAAACUUACUGUAAUUUCAUUAUUUAAUUUUCAUUGUUUCUUGUUAAUCAUCCUAUCAGAUGUCUUUUAAAAGAGAAAUAGAGCGAAAGUAGGUGUAGAAGAGGAAGACUGAUGUUUGGAAUGCUGGCUCUCUGGGCUAUUCUAGUUUUCACAAUAUCUUCCAUAGUUCUUAAAUUCUAGUACCCUGGAUAUGUGUUAUAGAUGCUAUUCAGCUUUAUUAAUGCUCUCAAAAUAACAAGAAAGGCAGAAUACAGUGUUUCUGAUUCUUCAUUAUAUAGGAAAACAGGAGGUAAAUAUAAAUAAAAUGAAAUAGGUAUUAUAAUGGAAAACAGUUUUUGAAAGGAGUCCUAGAGCUUAUACUAAAGAAUCUUUUCAGGACAAAAGUUAAUUAUUGUUUUAGCUCUUAUAACUGAUCUAAGCAGGAGGUUUGUAAUCUGGGUGAAGUAAAAGGAGCAAGAGAUGUGAGCAUUGAGGGUGUACUGUUUCUAGCUCCUGGAGGCAGAUAGCUGAGGCAGCAGGAGGAGGUCACCUCAACUUCCCUUUUAUUAGGUUACUUGCCUUGCAAAAGGGGUCAUUUCUGCAGCUUGGUGAGCUCCUGGGUCCUCUGAACACCAUGGACUUAACUUUUUGCUGUAGAAGGUAGAAGGGAGCUUGCUCUAUUACUGUACAUUCUCUUGACUUUGGCUAGCAGAAGCAGGAAGUAGAGAAAGUGUCAGAUGCUUAGGGCUGGCCUUGAGUGUUAGUAUAGAUAUAUAAGUAGGUAUUUGGAAA
This 889-nucleotide long non-coding RNA is filed under the name Homo sapiens (human). Its description in RNAcentral is "non-protein coding lnc-TTC3-8:1". The record is from RNAcentral. Lineage: Eukaryota; Metazoa; Chordata; Mammalia; Primates; Hominidae.